RNAcentral lists this ribosomal RNA (487 nucleotides) under uncultured bacterium. RNAcentral's name for it is "partial 16S ribosomal RNA". It matches the Rfam family "Bacterial small subunit ribosomal RNA", at positions 899 to 1397 of the family's 1533-position model. The record is from RNAcentral.
ACUCAAAUGAAUAGACGGGGGCCCGCACAAGCAGCGGAGCGUGUGGUUUAAUUCGAUGCAACACGAAGAACCUUACCAAGGCUUGACAUGCUGGAAGUAGCGAACCGAAAGGGGAGCCAACUGUUGAGUCAGUAGCCUGCACAGGUGCUGCAUGGCUGUCGUCAGCUCGUGCCGUGAGGUGUUGGGUUAAGUCCCCCAACGAGCGUAACCCUUAUUGCCAGUUGUUUUCUCUGGCGAGACUGCCCCGCAAAACGGGGAGGAAGGUGGGGAUGACGUCAAGUCAGCACGGCCUUUAUGCCUUGGGCUACACACACGCUACAAUGGACGGUACAGUGGGUUGCAAGGGAGCGAUUCGGAGCUAAUCCAAAAAGCCGUUCUCAGUUCGGAUUGCAGGCUGAAACCCGCCUGCAUGAAGUCGGAGUUGCUAGUAACCGUAAGUCAGCAUAUUACGGUGAAUACGUUCUCGGGCCUUGUACACACCGCCCGU